GCCUGGGUGGCUCAGUCGGUUGAGCAUCUGACUUUGGCUCAGGUCAUGAUCUCAUGGUCCGUGAGUUCGAACCCGGCAUCAGGCU
This is a transfer RNA of Felis catus (domestic cat), 85 nucleotides long. It matches the Rfam family "tRNA". Rfam says of the family: Transfer RNA (tRNA) molecules are approximately 80 nucleotides in length. Their secondary structure includes four short double-helical elements and three loops (D, anti-codon, and T loops). Further hydrogen bonds mediate the characteristic L-shaped molecular structure. tRNAs have two regions of fundamental functional importance: the anti-codon, which is responsible for specific mRNA codon recognition, and the 3' end, to which the tRNAs corresponding amino acid is attached (by aminoacyl-tRNA synthetases). tRNAs cope with the degeneracy of the genetic code in two manners: having more than one tRNA (with a specific anti-codon) for a particular amino acid; and 'wobble' base-pairing, i.e. permitting non-standard base-pairing at the 3rd anti-codon position. Lineage: Eukaryota; Metazoa; Chordata; Mammalia; Carnivora; Felidae. The record is from Rfam.